Molecule: ribosomal RNA, 427 nt
Filed under: uncultured bacterium
Lineage: Bacteria
Description: bacterial SSU rRNA
Rfam family: Bacterial small subunit ribosomal RNA
Source: RNAcentral
UGGGGAAUUUUGGACAAUGGACGCAAGUCUGAUCCAGCCAUGCCGCGUGCGGGAAGAAGGCCUUCGGGUUGUAAACCGCUUUUGUCAGGGAAGAAACGAGUUUCUCUAAUACAGAGACUUAAUGACGGUACCUGAAGAAUAAGCACCGGCUAACUACGUGCCAGCAGCCGCGGUAAUACGUAGGGUGCAAGCGCUAAUCGGAAUUACUGGGCGUAAAGCGUGCGCAGGCGGUUAUGCAAGACAGAUGUGAAAUCCCCGGGCUCAACCUGGGAACUGCAUUUGUGAUUGCAUAGCUGGGGUGCGGCGGAGGGGGAUGGAAUUCCGGGUGUAGCAGUGAAAGGCGUAGAGAUGCGGAGGAACACCGAUGGCGAAGGGAGCCUCCUGGGCCAGUACGGACGCUCAUGGACGAAAGCGUGGGGGGCAAAAA